RNAcentral lists this ribosomal RNA (477 nucleotides) under uncultured bacterium. Its description in RNAcentral is "partial 16S ribosomal RNA". It matches the Rfam family "Bacterial small subunit ribosomal RNA", at positions 30 to 507 of the family's 1533-position model. The record is from RNAcentral.
AUGAGCGCUGGCGGCGUGCCUAACACAUGCAAGUCGAACGGAGUCCAGCCUUUAAGACCUUCGGGUCAAAGAGGGGAAGACUGAGUGGCGGACGGGUGAGUAACACGUGGGCAACCUGGCUCAUAGAGGGGGAUAACAGAGAGAAAUUUCUGCUAAUACCGCAUAAGCACACACUGCCGCAUGGCAGAGGGUGAAAAGAGAAUCGCUAUGAGAUGGACCCGCGUCUGAUUAGCCAGUUGGCAGGGUAAGAGCCUACCAAAGCGACGAUCAGUAGCCGAGCUGAGAGGAUGAACGGCCACAUUGGGACUGAGACACGGCCCAAACUCCUACGGGAGGCAGCAGUGGGGGAUAUUGCACAAUGGGGGGAACCCUGAUGCAGCGACGCCGCGUGAGUGAAGAAGUAUUUCGGUAUGUAAAGCUCUAUCAGCAGGGAAGAUAAUGACAGUACCUGAAUAAGAAGCCCCGGCUAACUACGUG